Molecule: long non-coding RNA, 1142 nt
Filed under: Equus caballus (horse)
Lineage: Eukaryota; Metazoa; Chordata; Mammalia; Perissodactyla; Equidae
Description: lncRNA (ENSECAG00000059411.1)
Source: RNAcentral
GGGAGACCCCAGGGCUGUUGCCAAUAACCUUAGCUGCUGCUCUCUGCAUCCGGCCCUCCCCGGCCUCUUACUCUCAUCCUCCUGGCUCCAUCAGAAAACCUCAGCCAGUCGGUUCCCAUCAGUCUCCCCUUGGUUCCUGCUGCCCCUCCCUGCCCAGAGCUCGUUUAGACCGUCAAGGCUGGAAGGCAAGCUGAUGAAGAAUUCCAGAUCCUGGCAAACUCCUGGCGAUACUCCAGUGCAUUUAACCAACAGGAUAUUUUUCGGUAUGGUGGAUUUUGAUGAAGGUUCUGAUGUAUUUCAGAUGUUGCAGGUCCUUCUAGUUGUGGGAUGUGGGACGUGGCCUGACGAGCGGUGCCAUGUCCACACCCAGGAUCCGAACCCUGGGCCGCCGCAGCGGAGCGCGCGAACUUAACCACUCGGCCACGGAGCCGGCCCCAUUUAGCCAUUUUGAAGUGUACAGUUUAUCAAGUAACUUUGUAAAUCACAGCAUAAAUCCCGCCAUUAUGCCACCAUUAUGUAAUAUUGAAGUUCUUAGUAUAGCUAGGCACCUGUCUUUACCCCCUUGCUCUCUUGUGCUUAGUGGAAAAGCUCCUUCAUCUUGUUCAAAGCUUAAGCCUUUUUCUGUGCCCUGGAUCCCGUACCCACCCACUCUAUCAAUCAUGACCUCUCUCACUUGUAUUUUUUUUAAUUAAGACUAUUUUUUAGAGCAUUUUACAGGUUCACAGCAGAAUUGAGGGGUAGAUAAGAGAUUUCCCAUAUACUCCCUGCCCUUACACAUGGAGAGCCUCCCCUUUUAUCAGCAUCCCCAACCAGAGUGCUACAUUUGUUACAGUUGAUGAACCUACAUUGACUCAUGAUAAUCACCCAAGGUACAUAGUUUACAUUACAGUUCACUCUUGGUCAUAUACAUUCUACUGGUUUGGGCAAAUGUAUAAUGACAUGUAUCUGUUAACACGGUAUCACAAGGAGUAUUUUUACUGCCCUGAAAAUCCUCUGUACUCUGCCAAUUCAUCCCUCCCCUCUAAUCUUUGGUAAUCACUGAUCUUUUUACUAUCUCCAGUUUUGCCUUUUCCAGAAUGCCAUAUAGUGGGAAUCAUACAGUAUGUAGACUUUUCAGAUUGAUUUAUUUCACUUAGUAAUAU